UCUUUGCAAGAAAAAACUCUAAACAAAAAAGAAAUCAAUUUUACUUAGAGAGAAAAAAAAAAAGCAGCUCAAAUGGCUUAUUUCUGUUCAGAAAAUUUAAUUCUCUUUUUCAUUUCAAUCUUCUGUUCCAUAUGUUUUUCUUCUUCUACUCCUUUUAUAGUAUUGCAUGGACUUGGACAAUCUUGCAAUGAUGCAGGAAGUACAUUUUACACAUCACAACUUAGUCUCUUGUCGAGAUCUAAUGGUUACUGCCUAGAAAUUGGAAAUGGAGCUUAUGAUUCCUACACUAUGCCUCUAGAAAAUCAGGUUCAAAUUGCUUGUGAAAAGGUGAAAGCAAUGAAAGAACUACAACAAGGAUACAAUUUAGUUGGUCUCUCACAGGGAAAUAUGGUAGCCAGAGGGCUUAUAGAGUUUUGUGAUGAAGCACCUCCGGUAAAGAAUUUUAUCUCAAUUGGUGGACCUAAUGCUGGCGUUGCUUCUACGACCUGUGCUGGUGGCCCUUGGUGUGCUGGAACUGGUGGUGUCUCUGGAGUUGGAAUAUAUUCUGACUAUGUUCAAACUCAUUAUGCUCCUAGUGGCUAUAUUAAGCUUCCAAAUGAUAUUGCUGGAUAUUUGAAAGGUUGUAGAUAUCUACCAAAGCUUAAUAAUGAAAUUCCUGGAGCAAAUAAUUCUAUUUACAAACAACGUUUCACUAGCUUGCAGAACCUUGUUCUUAUCAUGUUUGCAAAUGAUGGUGUGAUAACUCCCACAGAAAGUUCUUGGUUUGGCUUUUAUCAAGAUGGAACCUACUCCAAAGUUUUGCCACCACAACAGACUAAUAUUUAUAUAGAGGAUUUGUUUGGAUUACAAACAUUGGAUAAAGCUGCAAAAAUAAAAUUCAUAAAGGUACCAGGAUAUCAUUUGGGAAUGGAUAUUCAAGAGCUGCAACAGUAUGUUGUCCCAUAUUUGAUUAAUGGAGCACCAAAGAAUAAAGUUGCUACUCAAGUGGUUCAUUGAUUAGAAAAAUUCUUGUUGAGGACAAUAGAGAGAAAUUGGAAAUGGAGCACACGAUUCCGUCCAUAUGCCUCUAGAAAAACAGGUUCAAAUUGCUUGUGAAAAGGUAAUAAUCCUCCACAACGUGCAUUGUUCUCUCUCUCUUUUUUUUUGGAAAUUUCUUUUACUAUAAAAAUAUUAAAUAAAUUAAAAAAGAAGAAAGAAGAAACAUAUAGAGAGGUUUGUGAAUUGAAUUAUAUAUAGGUGAAGGGGAUGAAGGAACUUCAACAAGGUUACAAUUUAGUUGGUCUUUCACAGGUAAAUAUUCAUCUAUAAUCAUAAAUAAUCGCCCCCACCCGCCACACUCACCCAUCCCGCCGUCAUCUGUCGUCUUCAAUAUUGCCCAUGUAUGGAUUCUUCAUUUUUGGGUCUCAAAUUUCAACAUAAACUAGCUAAAUUCAUAUCAAUCAAACUCAAAUUUUAACUACAACUUCACAACAUCAUUAGAAAAUCUCAAUAAUCAAUUUGGAAUCAACCAUAAAUUCAAUAAACUCAUUUUUUUUUGUCUUUAAACUUUUUUAAAGGUUCAAUAAUGGUGAAUACAAAAUUAAACUAGCAAAAUUCAUACCAAUCAAACUCAAAUUUCAAAUACAACUUUACAACAUCAUCAGAAAACUUCAAUAAUCAAUUUCGACAUCAAUCUCAUCUUGAAUUCGCCGAACUCAUGUUUUUUGUCUUCAGGCUUUUUCAAGCUUCAACAAUGGCAGAUACAAAAUUAAACAAGUAAAAUUCAUACCAAUCAAACUUAAAAUUCAAGUACAACUUCACAUCAUCAUCGGAAAACCCCAAUAAUCAAUUUGAACAUCAACCAUGAAUUUUACACUCAUUUUUUUUUGUCUUCAAGCUUUUUCAAGAUUCAAUAAUGGUGGAUACAAAAGGCAAUCUCAUAAAUCCAACAACAGAUUUCUUGAAAAUUCACAUAAAUAAUUUAGUUCAACAAUCAUGUAUUGAAAGACUUUCUUUUCCAAAAUUAUUUUCUAACUCAUUAAAAUUCAUAACUUUUCACACACAUUUUUUUUCUUUCUUGAAGAAAUUAAUGAAGAUAAUAGAAGUGGAGAUGGAGAGUUAGAAGAAGAGAAAGGAAAUUGAGGUGGGGUGUAAGAAGAAAUACAAGAAAAUGGAAUGGAGUGAGGAGUGGUGCGGGAGGCUUAUGAAGAAGAUGAAGAUUGGGUGGUGUGAGAGGUAAUGGGUGAGUUUCUUAUAUAUAUAGAGAGAUAUAGAUAUAGAUAUAUAUAAGUGGGACCAUAUUAGUUUUUAAUAGAAAACGUGUUGUUUUUUUCUUUUUUUUAAAAAAAAAAUUCACGUCAGCUUGAGGGGUGAAAUUAAUACGUUUUAAAGAUGUUAAAGAGGAUAAAUAAAUGAAAGAUAAAUUUAAGUGUUAAAGUGAAUUUGGAGGACAAUUACAGGGAAAACAUGUCUUUUCUCGAGUAUUAAUUAUAGGUGAAUCUCAAAGAUAGUAAUUUGGUAUGAUCUCUUCGGAAUGACCACUAACUGUUGACUUAAACUAAAGUAAUAGACUAAGGGCUCGUUUGAUAGAGUGUAUAAGAUAAUAUUGAAUAGGUUGUAUUAGUAAUGUUGGGAUUAGUAGUGCAGGGAUUAGUAAUACUGGGAUUAUUUUUUAUGCAGUGUUUGGUUUGAUGUACUGAAAACAAUAUGUAUUGUUAUAUUUUAAAAAGAAUAUUGUAUGUUUACAAAAAUACCCUUUGACAUAUUAUAACUUUAUCUAUUCUUUGCAAAAAAAAUUUUUUAAAAAAAUAAAAAAAAAAGUAAAAAUAUAACUAAUUAUUUACUUUGGAAUUUUAAGAUUCAAUCAUUCACUUAUAUAUAUAUUUUUUGUUAUCUUUUCUUUAUUUGUUCAUCAUUUUUUUGUUGUUUCCAUUUUGUGAUGUUCUUACGUUGGAGGAAGAUACGUGUAACUCUUGAACAAGACAAUAGAAUUAUUAUUGAUAUAAAUUUGUGUUCUGUAGAGUGCAUGGCUAAGUAGAAAAAAAUUAUUUUUAUUUAUGAUAUUCUAUUUACAAAAUUAA
Capsicum annuum is the source of this 3059-nucleotide RNA transcript. It is a transcript of the gene named palmitoyl-protein thioesterase 1, with no coding region annotated. The transcript is spliced from 14 exons. Lineage: Eukaryota; Viridiplantae; Streptophyta; Magnoliopsida; Solanales; Solanaceae. The record is from RefSeq and is a predicted model, not a curated record.